RNAcentral lists this ribosomal RNA (477 nucleotides) under uncultured bacterium. RNAcentral's name for it is "partial 16S ribosomal RNA". It matches the Rfam family "Bacterial small subunit ribosomal RNA", at positions 30 to 507 of the family's 1533-position model. The record is from RNAcentral.
AUUGAACGCUGGCGGCAUGCCUUACACAUGCAAGUCGAACGGAAACAGGUUAAGCUGACGAGUCGCGAACGGGCGAGGAAUACAUCGGUACGUGCCCAGUAGCGGGCGAUAGCGCGGCGAAAGCCGGAUUAAUACCGCAUACGACCCAAGGGAGUAUGGGGGGGAGCGCAAGUCCUCUCGCUAUUGGAGCGGCCGUUGCCAGAUUAGCUAGUUGGUGGGGUAAAAGCUCACCAAGGCGACGAUCUGUAGCUGGUCUGAGAGGACGAUCGGCCACACUGGGACUGAGACACGGCCCAGACUCCUACGGGAGGCAGCAGUGGGGAAUUUUGCGCAAUGGGCGCAAGCCUGAUCCAGCCAUGCCGCGUGCGGGAAGAAGGCCUUCGGGUUGUAAACCGCUUUUGUCAGGGAAGAACUCCUUUGGGUUAAUACCUCGGGGGGAUGACGGUACCUGAAGAAUAAGCACCGGCUAACUACGUG